CCAGACUCCUACGGGAGGCAGCAGUGGGGAAUAUUGCACAAUGGGGGAAACCCUGAUGCAGCGACGCCGCGUGAGUGAAGAAGUAUUUCGGUAUGUAAAGCUCUAUCAGCAGGGAAGAAAAUGACGGUACCUGAUUAAGAAGCCCCGGCUAACUACGUGCCAGCAGCCGCGGUAAUACGUAGGGGGCAAGCGUUAUCCGGAUUUACUGGGUGUAAAGGGGGCGCAGACGGCAAUGCAAGCCAGGAGUGAAAGCCCGGGGCCCAACCCCGGGACUGCUCUUGGAACUGCAUGGCUGGAGUACAGGAGGGGCAGGCGGAAUUCCUAGUGUAGCGGUGAAAUGCGUAGAUAUUAGGAGGAACACCAGUGGCGAAGGCGGCUUACUGGACUGUAACUGACGUUGAGGCUCGAAAGCGUGGGGAGCAAACAGGAUUAGAUACCCCCGUAU
Molecule: ribosomal RNA, 445 nt
Filed under: uncultured bacterium
Lineage: Bacteria
Description: bacterial SSU rRNA
Rfam family: Bacterial small subunit ribosomal RNA
Source: RNAcentral